Molecule: long non-coding RNA, 32902 nt
Filed under: Capsicum annuum
Lineage: Eukaryota; Viridiplantae; Streptophyta; Magnoliopsida; Solanales; Solanaceae
Description: long non-coding RNA (CANN_LNC001567)
Source: RNAcentral
GUCCCAAAUGUAAAUCUGACAUAUUCCUCCGUCUUCCCUAUAUUCACAAAUCAUAACGCAUACAUUGCGAUCAUAAUGUUAACAAGAAUAUGGCUACAUAUUCUUAACAACAAUUAGUUGACACCAUGAACCUUAAAUAUUGAAUAAAAAGAAAGGAGCUACAGUCUACAGAGCUGAAAACAUUACACUGUUGGAAAUAGGACUGUAGGUGAAAAGGAAAUAGUUAUAAGUUCUGGUCAGACUCAGAUUGAUGAAAAUCAGAAAAUUGAUGUUGUUGUUGUUGUUGUGCUGCCUGUGUUUUCUCAAGAAAGGGCUUGAAAAUAAGCUGCAAAUUGAGAUACCCAAAUGCUACAGCCCCAAUUACCACUAACCCGGAUCUAAAUGCUUUCAUUUUUGUUGUAUCCCUCAUUCUUCCGAAACUACUCCUUCUACCGCUCCUUUCACUCUUCUCCUUCUCCUUCUCCUUCUCCUUUGCCAAAAGAGCUGAUUCUUGAUUUUGAGUUUUGCUGUUUUUGUUUCUUAAACCCCUAUUUUCUUUUCUUUUCUUUUCUUUUCUUUACUAAUAUUACUCAACGACCUAUGAAAGUUUGGGAAAUAAUACUUUAGGCAUAUAAUAUUGGGAAGUCUUAUGUAGAUAAGGACAAACGUAUAAAAUUAGAUAAAAAUGAAGAGAAAAAAAAACGAGUGUGUUUGGUAUGAAGGAAAAUAUGUUCUGAACAAUGUUUUUCAAUUUUUUCACGUUGGUUAGCUUAAAUGUUUUGAAAAAUACUUUUCAAAUCAACUUAUUUUUCUCAAAUUUAAGAAAAAUAGUUUUCCUUUAAAAAGUAAAGAAUACAUUUUCUAAAACUCUCUUUCAACCUAACUCUCAAGUUAAAAUGUUCAUACAACUUUCAAAAUUAUUCACCUCUAUCCCGACCCCGAAUUUCCUACCACCCCCAACCAUUUUUUUAUUUUUUUAAAAGAUAUUUCAAAUUUUUUUUCUUACCUCAUCCCCUCCAAAAAGAAGAUUUAAUUUUUUAAAAAAAAAGUCAAACUUUUUCUUCUCCCACUUCUUAUCUAACCCCCACCCAACCCCCCCACACAAAAAAUUGUUUUUAAAAUUUCUGAUUUUUUCUUAUCCCACUGAAACACCCUGGGUUUCUGGCUCUUAGAAAAUUUUCUGGAUUUUCGAUCUCUGGACAGGAUACCACUAGGGGAAAUGACUCGUACACUGGGAUACGAGUGGUAUGGGUUAGUCGUAUGCUGACCACUGUUGGUUAGUGAGUUGGAUUUGGUUUCUAGAAUGGGUACGAGUCAUAUCGGUGAAUAGGGUUGUUUGGUUACUUCAGUUAAUCUUAGACCUGGUAACUUAAGUUGGAUCUGAGUACAAGUGGAUCACCAAGAGCCGUAAGUCAAGGUACGAGUUGUACCAUGGACUCGUAUGGUGGUUAGUGUUUAAUCCUCCUGGGAUUCUAUUUGUUAGGGGUACGAAUCAUGGGUACUAGUCGUAUACUUGGAUACGACAUGGGUUGGGGUGAGUCGUACCUUGAAAAUUGUUGGGUCCAAGAGAGAUGGUCUUAGGUUCGAGUGGUGGGUACCACUCGUAUUGGAGGGUACGAAUGGCGUGGAUAGUCAUACCCACCCGCCGGGAUUUGGGGGAAUUUAAAUGAGGGUAAUUUAGAUAUUUUUCCACUUAAUCUAAUAAGGCCCCACGACUUAUAUUUCUAUUGGGAGGUUAUUUUCCCUAUUAUUCUAUUCAUUAACACUUAGAAACUUCUCUUAAACACUCUACAAUUCUCUCUAAGGCUUUUGGGUAAAGGAGGGUUAGGGUUUCAUCUUAAGGAUUAAUUUGGGGCUUGUGUUGGUGAUUUAUCUCCAUCAUUUUCUUUCUUUAAGGCAUGUUCUCUUGCCUCAUUGUUAGUUUCAAAUAAAGGCAUGGUUUUAUACAAUGUUUUCAUGGUUUGAUUAUUGUAUGAUUUUGAAUUUUCAAAUAUAAUUUGGGGGUUUUGGUAAUGAAUGCUUGGUUAUGAUUUUUCCAUAUUUUAAUUACGCUUUUAUAUGCUUUAAUGGUGGUUUUUAUGGUUUGAUUAUUGUAUGAUUUUGGAUUUUCAAAUAUAAUUUGGGGGUUUUGGUUAUAAAUGCUUAGUUAUGAUUUUUUCGUGUUUUAAUUACGCUUUUAUAUGCUUUAAUGGUGGUUUUGGAUAAUUGGUUGCAUGGGAAUGAUUAUUUGGUAAUUGACUUUGGUUUUGGAAAUACUAUACCCCCAAUAUGUUUGAUAAAAUGCAUAUGAGAAUAUUUACACUACAUUAUUGGAUUUAGCGGAACUAUUGCACGAUUUAAACUUGGUAAUGGUACCAUAAAUGGUUAAAUGGUUUGGAAUGGUCAAAAUAGAAUGGUUUUGGUUUAACAAUCAUUCUUGUGGGGUAUAAUGGAAUCUCCCAAGUAAUCAUAAUAAUGAAACACUUGCAGGGUACAUGGGACUACCCCAAGUUAAUUGGUAAUGUGAUCUAUAGGUACAUGGGACUCCCUUGAUCUCAAAAAGAUUUGGCUAAGGAUAAUACUUGCAGGUUAUAAUUGGUAUGAUGAUACCACUAUGUAUAGCCUUGGUUAAUAACAAUAGUUUGGUUGGUUGGAAAUGAUUUUAAUUGGGCAAUAAUGGAGGAGUGUGAUAGCUAACCAUGAAAGUGGGAGUUCAAUGAAUGAACACUGGAAACUCAUGAUUGUCGUCAUGAGAGGUAGGGUGGCGACCCUUUUAUGAUACUAUGAGGUACGGGGGAAUCCUCUAAGUACAUUGUACAUGUGUAUUAUGGAGAGUAAGGAUACUUGGGAAUCCCUUACUCCUAUGGUAUCUCUGGUUCGUACAGCUACACGCAUCGAGGCCCGUUCAAGGAUUUACACUAGACCCAUAUAGUCCAUGGGGGGUCAAGGACAGUUAAGCUACACAUACCUAGGUUAAUGAUUUUAAAUGCAUGCUAAACCCGAUUCCCUUUUCUGGCAUAGUUAUAUAUAUACAUGUAUCAUUUGUAUGCAUAUGGUUGGUUUACUUGGUUUUACUGGUUGACAUUAUUUUAUCUUUACCUUGAGUUCAUGCUAGCGUUCACCCGCUAACCCAUUUUCGGGCGGUUGUAUCCCCAUACAAUGCAGGAACCAACCAUUCUACUCCUCAUAUUUAGCUAUCGGAUAUUCGGGAUCAUCUACUGGAUUGAAGUAAUGAGCUUUCAUCUUUUUGGAAGGCUCUAUUUCAUGGAUUUUAUUUCAUACUUCGAUUCAUUUAUGGAUAUUGGUUUUGUCUAUGGUUGGGGACAUGUCCCAACCGAAUUUGGGUAUUAUUUUGGUUAGAAGCUUUUAUGGAACUACUAUGGGUUGGUAAAGGUGGGAUCAGUAUUGGUGUUGCCUUGGUUUUGGGCCUGAUACCGAAGGACUAAAUUUCUCACUGUUCCAUCCUCUUUUAUUUUGGGAUUAUAUUUAAUUAUUAUGGAACUCAUAUGGUUAUGAUUCGUGGUUUGGUUUGGCUACUAGUUGGGUUCAGACGGUUGAACUCGGUUGGGUCGAUUUUGGUAAUAGACCUAUCUAGAGUCUGUAAUUUGGAUACUUAUGUUAUCUUGUUAUAUGCUCGAAAUUCAGCCAACUCAAGGCAGACGACUGUAGGUUGGGUUGGGUAACGGGGGUGGUCUCCGGUCCUGAUCGGACUUGGAUGCCUAUUACGAUAAGGCCUCGGGUCGGGUCGUAUCAAUUUGGUAUUAGAGCUUUAGGUUUAUGGUCAAUUGAGAGUCCACAAAUUCCUGUUAGUAGAGUCUCUUUUAGGGGUGUGUAGCACGUCACACUCAUAAGAGAGAGGCUAAAAAACAUUUAGGAAUGCUUCACUUUCUUGGUAUUCUGUUUUCGAGCUUGGAGUCUAAGUCCUGAAAUUUCCUUUAAUCCUUGUUUGUUCGAUUUUCAGAUUAUGCCUUGAUAAUUUAGAGCACAAGGAAAUCCUUUUGUCCCAUCUGGGGAUGAUGUUGAUGGAGAACGCCCUACACCUGGAGUUCGCACUCGAUCUUAGGGUCCUAUCCCUGAUUGUUCUAGAGUUCUUUCGAUUGCUACUAGUCUUUCUCAAGGUAAGGUGACUAAUCCAGAAUUUAGUCAGUCGAUUCAUACAAUUACUCAGUUGGUUGUUGCUCAAGUUGAGCGGGAUGCAUCUGGUGUUCUAUCUGUUGAGGCCACAAGGGUUGGCCAGUUCAUGAAGAUGAAUCCUCCUACUUUUACUAGUGUGAAGGUGCAGGAGGAUCCUUAGGGUUUCUUGGAUGAAAUAGAGAAGAUAUUUAGAGUGUUGCAUGUUUUAUCCCGAGGGUUGGCAAACAUUAAUUUCAACUUUAUAAACUAUUUUGAAACUUUAAAGAAAAUUUUGAAACAACCUAAAAAAUUACAGAGUCGCCACUUAAUUUAUUUGAAAAGAAAUUAAGAAAACUUUUUAAAAUAAAAUCCUAAGUCUCAAAAUAGAAAAAUACUUAGGCCUUUAAGAAAAUCCCCAGUAAGAGGUUCUUAUUAACAUUUUAAGAAGAUUUUUAAGGCACCUGAAAUUUUAGCUAACUAGCGAUUAUCCUGGCUAUUUGAAAACCACUUUGACUAACUUUGAAAAAAGUGAGGUUGGUCUUUGAAAAGAAAGUGAUUUAGGACAAAACUUGUAUAAAAUCAUUUUUUGAUGACUCAGUAGGAAAUUUAACCAAGUCUAAGAAAAUAAAGAGCAAAUAAGCACAUAAAGAGAAAAGGGGGAAUUAGAAGACUUGGGCUCGUAAGCCCAAAUCCAUCAACCAUGUCCUAAUCUAAUUGGGAUUUUGGCCCACCUGUACCUGUCCUAAUAUAAAUAUCGGGUUUUGGCCCAUAAACUGUUCUAAACUAUUUUUCCGAAUCCAUUGGCCUAGAAUCAGCUUCACCUAUAUUAAAAUAUAACUUUGGCUUUGAGGCCCCAAAUGAAUGAAUAAAUGAAUAAAUAAAAAGAAGACAAUAAUAAAAAUUGAGACUUUUCAAGUCUCUUAGUGACCUCAUCAAUGGGUUUUGACUCAUUUUCCUUCUUUGUCUAUCUUCUAGCACCCGCAUGCCAUAUAGUCGACCUUGGAUUUAAACUUCGAACUUCACUCGAAGAGGUGAGCUUCAUUGGCCUAUUACGAAAUGCAAGAGAAGAGGAGUCCAUUUGGACUCGACACAUUUUUUACAUGUAAAAAAAAAUAAAGAAAUUAAUAUACGUUCAAGGCAUAAAAGUGACAUAGUUCAAAGCAAAAGAAAAUAUCAAGAACCAAUUUUUGGAUGACAAUGAUAAGCACACUUGCGCACAUAUAACAAGAAUGAGAGUCAACAGAUAAAUACAAAAUAAAGACACCCACUUACAUGCCUCAUGAUUUAUGUUCAAAUUAAGAAUAAAUAGAGGUAAAAUGAAGAAGGUCAUAUUCAGUGAAUUAAUGCGAGAACAAAUAACGCAAGCUUGCGAAAGUAAAAGGAUGAGGCAAUAAGAAAAAUAACCAUGACUUCUAAAAUUGAACAAACAUAGACAUUAAUCUAUAUAACAAAAUAAAAUAAAGGCUAACUUUUCAAGAAAGAGAAUCUUUAAAUUUCAAUUAAGGCGACAUUAACGAAGAUUCAUACACCUAAAUUACAACCAACAUUUUAGGGGAAAAUGUGUAACGGCCUAUGGUUUAUCUUUCUAAGACAUCAUUGAUUCUCUUUUGAUAUUAUGAAUUAAAGAAAGACACGAAUCAAGUCUUUACAUACACAAAGAGCACAUAUAAAAAUCCAAAUGGAGUAAGAAAAUUAGAAUAAAAGUUUAGCAUUUCUAAAUGUGAAAUAUCGUUCAACAGUCAUACUAUGCAUGACUCGAAAAUAUCUAAAUAAUUCUAUUUAGCCAUAAAAGCCCAAACUUUCUCAUCAUUUUGACAAGUCAACAUGCGAAAAAAAAUAAACAUCUUGGAUGAAAAAGAGCUAGCACUUCAUCUCUCAUAUGAGGAUUUUGAAAUUCAUUAAAAUAAUUAGCAAGAAAAUGACAAGUUCUUGACUUAACCAAUUACUAUUUUAUUAAGGCAAAACAAACAAUAGUCACUAUUCUUUUUGACAUAAAGAAAACAACUUUACAUGUUAAAAACAAAUAUAUCCGCCAACAAUGAAUUUAAACAAAGCAUAAGAACGUCUUUGAAGCAAAGAUUGAAACUUUAUCCAUAAUAAUCAAAGAAUAAAGUCAAAAAGGAGAAACAAUGAAUAUUAUCUAUUAUUUUCAACAUAAAGGAAACAACUUUACAUGCUAAAAACAAACAUAUCCACUAACAAUGAAUUUAAACAAAACAUAAGUGCAUCUUUUAAGCAAAGAUUGAAACUUUAUCUAUAAUAAUCAAAGAAUAAAGUAAAAAGAAGAAAAAAUUAAUAUUAACUAUUAAUUUCAACAUAAAAGAAACAACUUUACAUGCUAAAAGCAAAGCUAUCCGCCAACAAUGAAUUUAAACAAACCAUAAGUACAUCUUUUAAGUAAAGAUUGAAACUUUACCUAUAAUAAUCAAAGAAUAAAGUCAAAAAGGCACGUACAACUAUUGCUAGCUCAUUGUUAUACCAUGGACAUGAAAAUAACUAUAAUAUCGAUACCGCAAUGUCCUAUGGCCUUCAAGGACCUCUACAACAAACAAUCUCAGCAAAUAAAAUUACAACUACGAACUACGAAGAAGAAAAAAGAUGAAGAAGAAAAUGAUAAUAAAACUAAAAAAAGGGAAAGGUGUGUUUACCUUUUUUGGGGCAGCAAAACGGGACUACAAGCUUUCUUCGGAGUCUUGACCACCAUCGGAAAGCGUUGUUGACACCCAGUUUUGGCUCUCCAUAUUUAAAAUUAAUGCAUUUAGGCUCCCUGAUCGUUAAAUGACACAAUAUGCAAUUUUUCACAUAUUUUUUGCAAUUGUUAAUAAAAUGUUGAUAAUCAUCAUUAUUUUAGGAUUUUUUUACUCAUUUAUUGUCAUAUUUUAAUUUUACAUAAUUUAUUGAUAAUUAUCUUUAAUUUCAUAAAUUUUAGAAUUUUUAUCAGUUUGUUAUUAUUUUUAUAUUUUUGCAUAAUCAUUUGCAUACGUACACAGCGCAACACUAUAAAUUUUUUUGACUGCACAGUAUAAUUUUAAUUAUUUAUAGCAUAAUAUAUUUUUUUCAAGAUAAUUAUAUUUUUUAUUUUUUGCUUAUAUUCUUCUGUAAUUAUACAUCGGCAUUCAUUAUUUUGUACGUUAUUUAAUACGACCUGCAAAUGUGAUACGGUUUAAUUAUUUUAAUACAUAGAGCAAAAAUCAGUCAAGUCAACAUUUUGUCAAUUUUUUAAAAGAUAGACAUUUGAAGUGAUGGGUUGAGAUUUUUUAUUUUUGGGUAAAAAAUUUUUUAUACAUUAGUUAAAAAAAAUAUUUUUAUUUUUGAAUAAAAAGAGGGGUUAGUUUUUAAUUUUUUAGGUAAAAAGGAGAAUUAUUUUGUAUUAUAAAGAGGAGAAGGAGUAUAUUUUAUACAUUCACAUACUCAAACAUUAAACAUAUUAUCAGAUUUGCUCUCUCUCUCAAAAUCAAUAUUUUUCUCCUCUUUACUUUCUCUUUACUGCCGCUCCACCACCACCGGAGCUCCGGUGAGUUUCACCAUCACCACCACCACAACGCCUCUCCUCUCUUCUUUCUCUCCCCUUUCCCUCUUCUUUUCCCCCCACUCCAGCCGCGUCGCGCCGCACGACCACGCGCCACCACUACCGCUAAAACAGCCACAAAACCACAACCAAACAACCAUCAAAAUUUGACCUUCGAUUUUCAGGCCGAACUACCAGCGCCACUCUCUUUUCUCCACAUUUUUAGCGAAACCUUACCCACCAUCGUUGCCGGCCACCGGGUUUGACCACCAGAUGGCCGGAGACCACCAAUAAUCACAGUACUUCGACCUUUUUAACUCUAUUGAACUAAGUUUGCAUCAAAUUUGUCUGUUGCUUAUUUGAUUUUGUAGAUCUGGUCAUUUUGGAUCCGGCCAUAAUGGUUCACUAUCCGGUGAAAAUUCUAUUUUGACCCACAAACUCCAUGGAAGCCGGACAAUCUGCUAUAUUUAGAUGCUAAUUUUUUAUGCCUUUUGUUUUUCUACUUUAUUACUGUUGUUUGAUGCUAGCUGCUACAUUCACGUUGCAUUUCUUUUGUUAUUACUUUGUGAAGUGAUUUAGCACUAUUUUAUGAUUUUUCUUGGGCGAGCUGCUACUAUUUUACGGGAUUGAUUAGGAAGAUUUUGUCUUUUAUAUUUAAUUGAACAGAUGAGAAACAUGAUUCUACACUAGUAUGAUCGAUGAAGAAAUUUUCAUCGAUUUUUAGGCCUGGACAAAUAAAAGACGGAUAUUAUGUAUACAAAUACGUAAUAAUAUAAAUAAAUUUAGGCAAUAACGAAAUUUUUAUAACAAUGCAAAAGGUUUUACGAUUCGUACCUUGGCAAGACGAUUUAGGAUGCCAAUAAAUUGAGCAACCACUUCGUAGCCAUGACAUAUUUAAAGUCUAAUUCGAGCCCUCUUUUAAGGAAAGGUUAUAUUUUUUUACACAUAUAUGCAUACAUAAUUUUUUAAUUUAUUUUGAUAAUUAUUUAUUUGUUACUAACAUUUUAUUUAGUAGUGUUUAUACAGGUUAUUGGAAAUACUCACCCGAAAAUACUCACCGGGAAUAGCAUUCAAAGAAGACUUUAAUUUUUAUGUUUGUAUUUUUAUACUUGUACACUUGUACGAAUAUUAAAUUAUAGUGAAAUCUUUAUUUUUGAUGGGUUGGGAGGGAUAUUAUUUAUUUACGCAAUUUUUAUCACGCGUUAGGCAAAUUUAGGUCGUUACUAUUCAUAUAAAAGAAUUAAAUUGAUUUAGAUAUUUAGUAGGAUAAUUCAUAUUUUACACUAAAAACAUUAUGUAAUCUUUCCUUUGAACAAAUUGUUCUUUAUUUAAUCUUUUCAUUUUUUCAUACAUAUUCUCAUGUAUUUUUUUCUAUUUUCAUACACUUUUUAUACACUUAUUUUUACGAUAACAUAUGUAAUUUACACAUUCUUUACAUAUAAAUUGUGUAUAUUGUUUUAAUAUGCACUUUUGUAUUUGUACUUACAAACAUCAAUUUUUUCUCUUUCUUUUAAUAAACCUAAGUUUGGCCGGGAACCAUAUUUGUGGAUUCUAAAAGGUGUCUAAUACCUUCCUUCGGAAUAAUUUGAACCCUUACCUAGAAUUCAAACUGGUUUCGUAGAUUAAAUAAAUUCAUACUUGUUAAAUAAAUAAAUAGGUUUUCUAUUUUUCCUUAAAAAUUAGGUGGCGACUCCGUACAAAUCAAUUCUUUUAGAGUCCAUAAUGUCGUGCUCGUUUUGACCUUAGGUAAAAAUCCGGUAUGACAAACGUUCAACUCGUGAACUUCAAUUAACCCACGAAUUUCAUGGAAAAGAAAAUCUUUUUUACUAAAAAAACUCUUCUUUGCUCAAAACUUUUUUUUCAACUUGAAACUUGGUCUUUCUAUCAAAAUAGUGGUAGUAUUUAUAGGAAAGGAUGAAGAUUCAAUUCUUUUCAUCCACCAAUGUGGAAGAGAGAAUUUAGGGGUAUUUUUGAAGUUUUAAAAUUGAAGAUAAGGUGAGGUGGAAGAUAAGGUGGGGAAAUUGUACAAUGUAGUAUAAUAUUUGAAUUUAAAAAUUUGAAUUUGAAAAAAGAACAGGGUUGAGGGGGAAUUUUACAAUGUAGUAUAAUUUUUGAAUUAAAAAAAAAGGACAAAGUUGAGGGAAAAAUCAUACAAUGUAGUACAAUUUUUGAAUUUCAAAAUUUGAAUGUGAAAAAAGGACAGAAUUGAGGGAGAACUGUACAAUGUAGUACAAAUUUUGAAUUUGAAAAAUGAAAAAAGGACAAAGUUGAGGGGGAUUGUACAAUCUAGUAUAAAUUUGAAAUUAUUUUUGGUGGAAAUUGGGUAGAAGUUAUGAGAGUUUUUGAGAAUUUCGGGGUUAUUUAAAAUAUAACCCCAAUUGAGAUUUAAAAUUAAGCUAAAUUUAUUUAAUUUUGACCAAAUUAAAAAUCAAUUGGCGGAUUGCAUUGCCAUUAUGACCAAUUUGAUUUCAAUUAUGGCCAAAUCUAAUAGAUUGACUAAAUUAAAUUGAAAUUCGAUAUGAAUUAAUAAUUCUUUUAAUCCCGAGCUUCUUGAUUUAAUAAAAUCAAACGCAUAUUUAUUCAAAUAAAUUAUUUUUUAGAGUAAAUUAUAUUUAAAUCAAGACUUUAUCCAUUCAAAUUAAUUUUUAAACUUAUCUCCGUAAAAGCUCAAAUUUUGAUAAAAAUAUUUAUUCAAGUAACAAAAUUAUACAAUCUCGUAUAUGUGAAUAUGAAAAUGUAUAAUCAUCACUUAAAUGACAAAACUGACCUAAAUAAAUAUUUUAGAGCGCAUUUAUCCGGAUGAAAUAAAUAUUUCACUUUUAUUUAAAAUUGAAGAAAAUUCGGAUUAAAUUUAGUCGUGGAGGGCAAAAAUUAGGUGUCAACAACUGCCCCCUCCCUUUAGGUAGGGUGGAUGUAAGUAACCCUAGGCAAACAGAGUUUCACGUCCCUAAUUUUUGUCCAACCAUAAAUUUAUUUCUGAGAGAGGUUGGAUUUCGCAUGAGUUUCAUGGAUUUAUGGCUGGACCUCGGUAUCAGGUUUCUGAUAUAUCUCAGGUUACAUGAGAAUUCAGGCCACUUGUAGUUCAUAAAUCUUGAUUUAAAGCAUGAUUUUCAGAAAAUUCACAAGUUAUCUUAGUUUUUGAGUUUUAGUAAAAUCAAAAAGUUGGAGAAUAAAGGGAUUUGGGGGAAAGUUGGAAUGCAAUCGAGUUUUCUAUAUAGAGCCCAACCUACAUAUUUCCGAGACUUAGUAAAUCAGACUGCUUGUAGUUUGACUCAAUUGGUAGAAAAGAUAGUCUUUUAUUCUAGACGAUCUUUGAUUUGGGAUGAGUGACAAGUUGAUAAAGUUGCGAGAAAAGAGGUUUGUAACCUCUUAACCAUAAAUGUGGAGCUCUUCAUAUCCUUAGGUAAGAACUUAGCUGGCCAUAAUUUCCAAAACUCUAGGUAUGUUGUCACCCAAAUUUAAAAGAAAAAGAAGGUUACCAUCAGUAUGAGUUUAGAAAUGUCCCAAAGGCAAAGAUAAAACCAGAAUACCCCAAAAUACACACAUGCCUUCAAAUAGGGGUGUGGUUGGAUGGUGGUGGCGAUCAUUCUUUAGCUCGCAUCUAAAGAGUUUGACACCCAUCUCUAGACUAUGUCUUAUUUUGUUGCUAAGAAAAGUUCCACGUUAUGCUACGUCCUUUUCAGAGUCGUCCAUAGAUUUUCAUCCUCUCGAAUGCUCUCGACAAUAACUCAAACAAUAUUCUUAGUAAUAAACACAUCCACGAAAGGUGUAUAUAGUUUCUUACCAUACCUCUACGUGAGUUGUUAUUCAAAAAGCGAAGCCAUCCUCUCAGGUACCUAUUUGGAAGGAAAUAACUUACAAUAAUAAACACAACAACCCUCGUAGUUGUUGAAUAAGAUAGUUCCUUUAUUGAUUAAGUAUGUCUUCAAAGUGGGGCGACCCUCUUGGGCACCAAUGACACUUUAUGCCAAACAGUCCCUACAAUCGUGUAAUCUUAUGCUGAUGCGGCAACCCUUUUGGUUACCUGUAGUACUUGUGGAAUGAUAACCUCUUCGGUUAUUGCUAAUGAUUCUUUGCAUAUGACCUUGGGUAAGUUUUUUGCAUCUUUUGUGUCGAUAUGACUUAAAGAUUAACCUUGAAUUGUCAAUCUUUGGAUAAUCUUGCGCAUUAUUUGAUGUUGGAUACGAGGCAACUUACAAAUAUCCUUUGAAGUGCUAGCUUUCAGAUAAUCCUGCAUAUUAUCUGACCUUAGAUAAGAUAUAACUUACAUAUAUCUCUCCAAUCGCUAGCUCUCAGGUAUUCCAGCACAUCAUCCAACCUUGGAUACAAUAUGACUUAUAGAUAUCUCUCAAAUUGCUGGUCUUUGGAUAAUCCUGGACAUAAUUGAUCUUUGAAUAUGACGUGCUUAUUGAGAACCCUUGGAUUUAUUAAUUUGAUAGUCUCGCAUACUCUCCGAUAAGAAUUUUGUUGCAACUUAUGGAUAACCUUCGGACUAUCAAUUUUUGGGUAACGUUGCACACUAUCUGGUUUGGAUAUUGUUAAGGCUUACGGAUAACCUAUGGGCUACAUCUCAUAGGUAAUCUUUCACACUAUCCUAUUUCAAAUACUAUGACUUAUAGAUGACCCUUAAAUUGUUAAUUUCUAGGAACUCUUAUAUAUUAUCCAUCUUCAGAUAGCGACUUAAAGACGUCCCUUCAAAUUGCAUGCUCUUGAUGCAUUUAGAUGCCGAUUCAUAAAAUGAUGAGAUAUUCUUGAUGCCAACAUUUGUGUUUUGCGUGUCAACAGAUACUAAAUACUGAUGAUAUCUUCGACGCCAGUAUUUGUGUCUCGCGUGUCAACAGAUAUUAAAUUCCAUGAUAUCCUCGACGCCAAUGUUUGUGCCUCCUAUGUCAGCAGAUAUUAAACUCCAUGAUAUCCUCGACACCAACAUUUAUGUCUCGUGUGUCAAUAGAUAUUAAAUGUCGUGAUAUCCUCGACGCUAGUAUUUGUGUCUCGCGUGUCAACAAAUAUUAAAUUCUAUGAUAUCAUUGACGUUAGUGUUUAUGUCUCGCGUGUCAACAGAUAUUAAAUGCCGAUGAUAUCCUCGAUUCCAAUGUUUGUUUCUCGCGUGUCAAUAUAUAUUAAAUGCUGAUGAUAUCCUCGAUGCCAGCGUUUAUGUCUCGCAUGUCAACUGGUAUUAAAUAUUAUGGUAUCCUCGAUGCUUGCAUUUAUAUCCCGUGUGUGAACAAAUAUUAAAUGCUUAUGAUAUCUUCGACGUCAACGUUUGUGUCUCACAUGUCAACAGAUAUUAAAUGUUGAUGAUAUCCUCGACACCAGCAUUUGUAUCUCACGUAUUAACAAAUAUUAAAUGCUGAUGAUAUCCUCAAUGUCAGCAUUUGUGUAUCGCGUGUCAACAGAUAUUAAAUAUUGAUGAUAUCCUCGAUACCAGCAUUUGUAUCUCGUGUGUCAAUAGACAUUAAAUGCUAUGAUAUCCUCAACGCCAACGUUUGUAUCUCGCGUGUCCACAGAUAUUUAAUGUUUAUGAUAUCUCCGACGCUAGUGUUUGUGUCUCACAUGUCAAUAGAUAUUAAAUGUUGAUGAUAUCCUCGACAUCAGCAUUUGUGUCUCGCGUAUCAACAGAUAUUAAAUAAUGAUGAUAUCCUCGACGUCAACAUUUGUGUCUCAUAUGUCAAUAGAUAUUAAAUGUUAUGAUAUCCUCGAUGCCAGCAUUUGUGUCUCGCAUGUCAACAGAUGUUAAAUGCUUAUGAUAUCCUUGAUGCCAGCGUUUGUGUCUCACGUAUCAAUAGAUAUUAAAUGUUGAUGAUAUCCUCAACACCAGUAUUUAUGUCUCGCGUGUCAAUAGAUAUUAAAUAUUGAUGAUAUCCUUAACUCCAGCUUUUGUGUCUCGCGUGUCAACAAAUAUUAAAUGCUAAUGCUAUCCUCGAUGUCAGUGUUUGUGUGUCGUGUGUUAACAAAUAUUAAAUGCUUAUAAUAUCCUCGACGCCAACGUUUGUGUCUCGCAUGGUCAAUGGAUAUUGCUGCUUCAAAGCAAUCUCCAAGGCCAAACCUUAUCAUCUUACACCAUGAGUGAUUAUGGAGACUUAGUUGAAUGUCGUAAUGGCCCUCUUGGCGAUGAAAUGAUAUGAAAUGGCCCUUGUGGAAAUGGCAUGAAAUGCCUCUCUCAGCGAUGAAAUGAUAUGAAAUGGACUUCUUGGCAAUGACAUGAAAUGGCCCUCUCGACGUUGAGAUAAUAUGAUAUGGCCAUCUUGGCAAUGAAAUAAAAUGAAAUGGCCCUCUCGAAAAUGGCAUGAAAUGGCCUUCUCGACAAUGAGAUGAAAUGGCCCUCUCGGCAAUGAGAUGAAAUUUCCCUCUUGGCAUGGCCAUCUUGACAAUGGUAUGAUAUGAAAUGGUUCUUCCAAUGAUUUGAAAACAGUUUCACGUAAGUCCAUUUGUCUGUGUUUUUGCUUUCUACAUAUACCUGUACUCAAUGUGGAUAGUUAGUAGACAUAAUGCCCCUCUCGCUGGUGACUAUAAUCAAAUUUGUGAAAGUUUAAAUGGCAAAUACUCGACAUCAUAAUCUAAAUGGCUUAAUUCACUAUUCAUUCUCUUUUCGAAGAAGUAUUUAAAUAGCAGACCCACCAGAUAUAAAUGAAUGGGUAAAAUCCCUUUUAGGGCUACUUAAAUACCGUUCCUAUUUCUUCAAUGAAUUUUGAGGAGGAAUUUCCGCUCUUCUCUUAUUAAGUGAUCCUUUUGAUUGUUGUAUUUACUGUGCCGACUCCUUUGAAUGCACCUGCGCUCAAAGUGAAAAUUUAAUAUACACAGAGUCUCUUAUGUUAGCAACUGUAUUUAUAUAAAGAAUUCUAAAUACAAUAUUCAUAAAGAAUAUAACGCAUCGUUGUUUGUCCUUCAUGGUCUCAAGAAAUGAGAUAGUUAAUUGAAAAGGUCCUUGAUAAUUGGAUAUUAAAUCCGUCUUUAGGAAUGCCCAAAAAUACCGUUCUUAAGCAUUAUAUGCUUUGGUGUGGCUCGCAACUCGCUUGGGUAUUUUAUAAAAAUAUUCCCAUUUUUUUGUACUGAUCCUUGCAUCCACAGAAAAAUAAUUAGUCAUGAGUGAAACUACUCCGUGUUGACCUCCUUCGAUCCUUGGUUUUCUUCUCUCCAUCUUUUGGGUACUCCUCCAUGUUGGGACUUCCACCCUGACUCCUCGUUCCAAAUAUGCCUAGGCAUUCACUAAGUAAGAAGAUUUGCAUAGAUUUUUUAAAGUAGUCUUAAUUUUAAAAACUAGUUUCAAAACUUCUGUAAAAGAUUUAGAAAAUUUCUACCAGUCAUGUCAUGUACUAGCUCAACAAACGUCUUCCUCUUGGUUCUAACUAUAUCUGAAGUUUGACGGAGGAUUUCCAAGGAUUCAUCAUCGUUGAGGCUUUCUAUUAGAAGUUUUACCGUGGCUAGUGAUAUCCAGAACUUGCCUUUUACCUCUAGUGCUGGGGGAUUUGAAAUAUAUUUCAAUAUAUUAGUGGAAAUUUUGAGGACCUCUUCAAAAUUUCUGCCCCACUUUACUACUAUUUGAGAUGAUCUUAGCUUGAGAAGAUCUAAAAUCUUUGCUGAUCUUCAUUCUCUUUAUUAGAUGAUAAUAUUUUUCUUGUGAAUUUUUGAAAUUCCUUCUCAAAAAUUCUGCCCCAGUUUCCAUUUUCUGGGGUUAUAUGAUCGAGCCGUUGGGGCGCAUACGUAUCCCUGUUGAAGCAGAAAUCAGGUCAAACAUAGUUCAGGACUAUGCUAGGGAUAUAUAGAAAAAUUUAAUGGGUUGACCGAAGCCGACAUAGGCCGCCUACGUAUCCCUUUUGUUGGGAAUUCAGGUCAUCACAUAGUUCAUACAUAAAAAAAAGGAUAAAUUGUCCUAAAGGAUUGACCGAAGUUGACAUAGGCUUCCUACAUAUUCCUUUCUUGGGAUUUCAGGUCAAACGUAGUUCGUACAUAAAAGGAAAGGAUAAAUUGUCCUAAGGGGUUUACCGAAGCCGACAUAGGCUGCUUACGUAUCCCUUUCUUGGGAAUUCAGGUCAAACAUAGUUCGUAACUCUUGGAAAAUAAUUCUUUGCCAAAUGGCAGAUUGUCUUUUUCUGAUUAUUAAUGGCCUCUUCAGCAUACAUUCCAUAUUCUAAAUACCUUUUAAUAUCCCAUGGCUUUCCAUCAGGUUUCUCUUUGAUGUACACACAAUGUGCCGAUUUUUAUUUCAAGCUUAUUUUUAAAGGAUCAAUGUAACUCUUAUCUGGGUGCUAAAUCACGAAGGAUAUAGUAUCCCAAGCAUCAGCAAACUCAUUAUGUAUCCUCGGGAUAUGUCUGAAAUCAACCUCCUUGAGUCUUCCAUACAAAUCCUGUGUCAGCUCUACAUAAGGAGUAAUCUUGGAGUUCUUUACCACCCAUUCCCUCCGUACCUGGUGAAUCAACAAAUCUGAUUCUCUGAUGACGAGCAAUUCACUAGCACCCAUAUCAAGUACCAACUUGAGACCUAGGAUGCAACCCUCAAAUUCAGCUAUGUUAUUGGUAUACGGGAAAUGCAACUUAGCGGUUGUUGGAUACUGUUGGCUUAUUUCUGACAUCAAAACUGCUUUGAUUCCUGAGCCUUUGAAGUUGACUACUCCAUCAAAGAACAAUCUUCAUCUGGGAUAUAUCUCUGUAAUGUCUGCUCCCACGAAUAAAAUCUCGUCAUCUGGAAAGUAUGUUUGAAGUGGAUCGUAUUCAUUAUCAACCGGAUUCUCAACUAAAUAAUCUGCUAAGGCUUGCCCCUUGAUUGCCUUUUGAGUCACAUACACAAUGUCGAACUCACUCAGUAACAUUUUUUACUUAGCUAACUUUCACGUUAGCAUAGAUUUCUGAAUAUAUACUUCAAUGGAUCCAUUCUGGUAAUGAGAUAUGUUGUGUAUGAGGAUAGAUAAUGCCUCAACUUUUGUGUGACCCAGGUCAAAGCACAACACGUCAUUUCUAGAAGAGUAUAGCGAGCCUCAUAUGGUGUAAACUUUUUAGUCAAGUAGUAGAUUGCUUUCUCUUUCUUACCGAUCUCAUAUUGAUGCCUGAGGAUAUACCCAAAAGCUUUUUCUGAGGCUAACAGGUAAAGCAACAACAGACUUUCUUCCCUUGGUGAAACCAAAAUAGGUAUUUCUCGAUUCUAUCAAAAUUUUUUUGAUAUUUUUCUAUCUAUUCAUUCAAUGCAUCUUUCUUCAACGUCUUGAGAAUUGGCUCACAUAUGACUGUUGACUGGGUGAUAAACUUGCUAAUGUGAUUCAAAUGACCCAGGAAAUUCAUAACCUCUUUCUUGGUCCUUGGUGGCAGUAAAUUCUAAAUUGUCUUGAUAUUUGUAAGGUCCCACAAAGUUCCCUCGUAGUUUGAGCCUUAGGGCAUAUCGAGUGAGGCGUGAUUCCAUCCCUAAAAGGUUGAAAAGUGGUUUCCUAAGUAAUUAUCAUGUUGACCAUAUAGAAUUUCCCUAAUUUCGACUUUCUAUAAUCUAAUAAGUUUUUCAUCGAUAGAAGAUUUGCCCAAAUCCGAUACCCGGGUAAGAAAUUAUGGCUAAUUUAAGACCUAGUCAUAAAACUGUGUCAUUUUAGUGCUUGACGCAUCGUGGAGAGGGUUGAUUUGACAAUUGUAAAAUUCCAGUGAGCCACCACGAUAAGUGGCGCGUCGCGGUGACCCCUUAAAUCGGGUUCCCAGUUUAAUUUUUCCAGCUUUGUACAGAUUUUAAAAGGGGAAUUUUGGACUUUUUCCAAGCCUAUAAAAUCGUGCAAACACCAAAUCAAAGUCAUUUGCAAGCAUCCUAUGAGGGUUUUCUCAAGUUUUCUCUUAUAAAAAACCCUAAGGAUCCAAAACCUCUUCCAAGAAUCUCAAGAAUCCACUAUGGAUUUUCUAAAUUGAGUCAAGAUUCAAGGUUCCCAAGUCAAGGGCCUCAAGAACCCUCAUUCAAGAGUACGAAUAGAGUUCCAAAAGUGAGAGUUCAUCCAAAGCUUCUAAUUCAAAGUAUGUGGGAUUUUGAACAAGGGUAACCCUUUCACCCUUCUGCCCAAAAAGCUUAUUUACAUCAUGAUUUUGUUGAAAUCUAUAGGGUUUUUACAUGAAUUUGAAUUGGGUUUUUUCACCCAUUAUUAUGGAAUCCAUUACCUUGAUAUUUCCCAUAAAUUGAGAGUUAAAUGGCAUGAUUUCUACAUAUUUUCUUGAGUGUUUAUAGCUAGGUAUAAAUCCCAUGAUUUUACUCCUUGAUAAGCUAAUAUUUGCAAUAUUUGAGGUGGUGAAGCAUAUGACUAAAUUGAGAUUUUGAGACAUAUUACUGAAAUUCCCAGAUUUCUACAUGAUUUAUGAAUCUAUAUGCUUUAUAUAUUAUGUUUUAUAUAAGCUUCAACUUGAGAUUAAACUAUGGGUUAGUAAGCCCUAUUUGAGACUUGUGAAAUUAUGAACUCUUAUGCUAUAACCACCCAUGUUUUGAGUAUUUUGAGAUGAUUGAGAAAUGAAUUGACCUAAUGGUCCUAAAGCUUUGAAAUCCACUCAUUAUAUGAGAUUAUCGAUUUGAUUAUUGGGUUCGUGGUAAACCAUGAGAUUAUUCUAAAAGUGGAUUUUUAUGAGAUGAGCGCAGAUAAAAUCUAAAGGGAGUAGUACUUAGCACCGAGCGAGUAAGUCACUGUGGUUUCUUACCCCAAAACUAUGUGCCACCGUAGGUUAGACCUGAGGCUGAGUUUAUGAUGAUUAUGAUUAGGCCUGAGGCUAAGUUUCAUUUAGUGAUCAUUAGACCUAGGUUAUACUCCUUGGCAAGAGUAUGACGUUCCUCCCUAAUGUGGGGUCUCCUUCUUAGGAGGACAAAAUAUUGGACUCUAUGUAGCUUACAUGGUUUAUGUCGGUUACGAGAACCCCCUUGCCCUUUUAAACUUCAAAAUUUGAUACUUAUUUUCCCUUCUUAUGAGUUAUUUUCCUAAAUGGUGGAAUUUCAAAGUUGUUCCCUAAUUAAAGUGCUUCCUUGAGGUGGAUUAUUUUCCUAAAUGAAAGUAUCUUCCCUUGUUAUAGUACUUUUCAUAAAGCUUUGAGAUAAGUUAUUUCCUUGAGCUAGAAUACUUUUCCAUUUGAGAUGGAGUAAUUUUUCUAAAGCUUGAAAUGAGAUAGUUUUCUAAGGUGGAUGAAAUGCCUUCAAAUAUGUUUUUGAGUCAUAUGAUUCCGAAUUCCAAGUAUAUGAGUUCUAAAUAAUUAUGAAAUAUUGAGCAUUGAAGAGAAUUUACUCUCCAUGAGACAUAUGCAUGAGUCUAAAGUAUUGUUCAAAGUCCCUUAGCCUUUAGGUAUUGAGAAUAACAGAAGAUUUUUGAUUUUUAAGGUUAAAGAGUGAUGACUCACGAGAUUUGUGUUGCAUGCCUCAUUCUACAUAAUUUAUGAGCUUUAUAUUUUAUACUUGUUCAAGCUAUGUGAGUCAUCUCAUUUUCCAUACAUGAUUUUAUUGAAGAAGAUCGGUACUAUUUUUAUACAUAUGCAUUCACUCCCGCAUACUUAGUACAUUCCAAAGUACUAAUUCACAUAUAUGUCUAUGUGCUACAUUGUCUUAUAAUGUAGGUUCAGGUGCUUGGUCCCAGCCUCAUCUGUGAUUCUUCGAGUACCUUGCCUACGUUUUGUGCAAUGGUGAGUCCUCAUGGUUCGAGGACUGAUCUUUCUAUAUUUUCUGUGUUUGAGAGACUAUGUUUUAUCUUCAGUUCAUUUCGAGUUAGUUGGGGACCUAUCCCAAUGGCUCUUUAGUUUUUGAUUCGUAGAGGUUUUGUCAGACUAAUAUCAUACUUAUAAUGUGUCAAGGGUUCAGUAUUGGGGUUUUGUUAAGAUUUCUCUAUAUUUUGGUCAUAUGGAUCGAGUAUCUUUCCUGUAUUUCCUUUCAUGUGAUAUAACUAUGCGAGUGUUGAGUCUAUUUCAUCUUGAAUUGAGUGUUAUUGGUAGCAAUCGGCUCUAAGGGUUAGUUUGGGACUACUUGUAGCCUUAAGCACCGUGUGACGUCCCGGGAGAUGAUUUCAGGUCAUUACAAACUUGGUAUCAGAGCCUAAGGUUUCUAAGGAGUCCUAGGAAGUCUGACAAGCUGGUUGGGUAAAGUCUUGAUCAUCGAUGUGUAGCGCACCAUAUAUAUGAGCAAGAGGCUACGAGACGUUCUAGGAAAAGUUGUUUCUUCUUUCAGAUUCUAUUGUGCCUACAGUUGUCCCUCUUAUCUAAUGAUCCGUGCUUUUCUAUUUUUAUAAAAUGCCUUCUCGAAAAGCGAAUGUCCAUGGAAACAAUGAUGAAUAACCCCUACCUGUUGAUCGUGUGAAUGAGACGGUAUCCAUGCUGAGUUUAUAGUGGCCUUUUAGGCGUUAGCCCAAGGGGUCACCAUAAAUAUUCGAGCCAAUAACCAGGCCCCAGUUGCUAAUCAGCAGGGUAGUGACAUAGCUGUGGCUAGAAUUCGUGACUUUAUGCGGAUGAAUCCGCCUGAGUUUUAUGGGUCCAAGGUAGACGAGGACCCCCAGUUGUACUUAGAGGAGGUGAGGAAGAUCACUGAUAUGACGCAGGUUUCAAAAUAAGAAAGUGUUAUGCUGGCAUCCUAUAGACUGAAGGACAUUGCUUAUGAUUGGGUUGUAUCGGUGAAGAAGGGUAGAGGUGAGAUUGCUGUUUCUAUGACUUGCAAGUGUUCCAAGAUGCCUUCUUAGACUAGUUCUUUCCACUUAAUAUGAGGGAGGCAAAGAUUGAGGAGUUCAUGAACUUGAGGCAAGGCUCCAUGACUGUUAAGGAGUAUUGCUUGAAGUUCAAUCAGUUGGCCAAGUAUGCUCCUGAUUUGAUUUCUGGCAUCCGAGCUAGUAUGAGUAAGUUUGUGACUGGUGUUUCUGGGAUAGUACUGAAGGAGUGUAGGACUGUGAUGCUGUAUAAGGAUAUAGAUCUGGCUAGGUUGAUGACGCAUGCCCACAGAUAGAAGCUUAGAGAAAGAGAUAGAAUGAGGAGUAGUAAGAGGACUAGAUUGAGCAGCAUGAGUUUAGUCAGCCUAGGUUCCAUGGAGAGAAUCACCCCCAAUUUUAGAGACGACCGUCUAUUCCAGUACCUUCAUCAGCUAGUGCUCUCGCGCCUAGAGGUAAGCCGGAGCAAGGGAGUAGGUCUUUCAUGUUUGGGUCGUAGAACAGUGUUAGUAACCAGCCUCGUUAUCCUCCUUGUGCUAAAUAUGGUAGGAAUCAUCUUGGGGAGUGUUUCAGGGAUGUGAUGGGUUGUUUUAGUUGUGGCAAGUAGGGCCACACACUUAGAGAUUGUCCCCAUGCUAGAUAGGGGAAUAGAGAUGCCCGACCUCAGGCACAGGCUACUAGUGCACCAGCUUCAGUACUCUGUCCCAUCCCUGCUCAGGGCACUUCUUCUAGCACCCCUGGCGAUCAGCGCCAGAACAGGUUAUAUGCCUUGCCACCCCAUCGGGAGUAUGAGGACUCUCUUAAUUUUGUUACUGGUAUGCUUCAUAUCUUUUGUCUUGAUGUUUAUGUGUUAUUGGACCCCGAGUUAAAUCUCUCUUAUGUGACCCCACUUGUAGCUGUGAUUUUCAAAAUGAGUUUCGAAAAGAUUCCCGAGCCUUUUCUAGUUUCUACUCCAGUCAGAGAGUCAGUUGUUGGUAAAUAAGUGUAUAGAGGUUGCCCUAUUAUUGUGCUUUAUAAAGUCAUACCAGCUGAUUUGAUAGAGUUAGACAUGGUAGAUUUUGACCUUAUUCUGGGUAUGGAUUAGCUUCAUUUUUGCUACACGUCUAUAGAUUGCCGUACCCGUGUGAUCAAGUUCCAUUUUCCUGAUGAACCAGUGAUUGAGUAGUCCAGGAGUUUGGUAUCUCCCAAGAGUCAUUUUAUCUCCUAUAUCAAAGCUAGAAAACUAAUAUCCAAAGGUUGCAUUUACCACCUAGUUAGAGUCAAAGAAACUCAGUCCGAGACUCUAACUAUUCAGUGAGUCGAUAUUGUUAAUGAGUUUCCAGAUGUCUUUUCGAAAGAUCUCCCAAGGGUACCUCCCGAUAGACAGAUAGAGUUUGGAAUUAACCUUCUUCCUGACACUCGACCUAUUUCUAUUCUGCCAUACCGUAUGGCACCCACAGAGCUUAAGGAGUUGAAGGAACAAAUCAAAGAUCUCUUAGAUAAGGGUUUUAUUAGACCCAGUAUUUCUUCUUGGGGUGCACCUGUGUUGUUUGUACGGAAGAAGGACGGAUCUUUGCGUAUGUGCAUUAAUUCUCGUCAACUGAACAAGUUCACAGUUAAAAAUAAGUAUCCUCUUCUAAGAAUUGAUGACCUGUUCGAUCAGUUGCAAGGUGCAAGUUAUUUCUCCAAGAUAGACCUUAGAUCCGGCUAUCAUCAACUUAAGGUGAGGGAAUGUGAUAUUCCAAAAAUGGCCUUCUGAACCCGCUAUGGUUACUUUGAGUUUCUAGUCAUGUUUUUCGGGCUAACCAAUGCCCUAGCAGCUUUCAUGGACCUCAUGAAUCGAGUGUUCAAGCAGUACCUUGAUAUGUUUGUCAUUGUAUUCAUAGAUGAUAUCCUUGUGUACUUCCAUGAUGAGAAUGACCAUGUGAAUCAUCUUAGAAUUAUCUUGGAAACUCUUAGAGAUCACAGUUAUUCGCCAAAUUUAGUAAGUGUGAAUUCUGGCUAAGGUCUGUAGCCUUUCUAGGUCAUGUUGUUUCGGCCAAAGGUAUUAGAGUCUAUCCCCUAAAGACAGAAGCUAUGAAAAAUUAGCCUAGACCUAUUUCUCCGUACGAUAUUAGGAGUUUCUUGGGUCUAGCGGGCUAUUACCAUUAUUUUGUUGAGGAUUUCUCUUCCAUUGCAUCUCCUAUGACCCGGUUGGCCUAAAAGAAAGUUAUAUUCCAGUGUUCUGAUUCCUGUGAGAAGAGUUUUCAAGAGUUGAAGAUUCGACUCAUUUCAGCCCCUGUGUUGACUUUGUCUGAUGGUACUAAUGGUUUUGUAGUGUAUUGUGAUGCCUCUAUAGUUGGUUUGGGUUGUGUGAUGAUGCAGAGAGAUAAGGUUAUAGCCUAUGCCUCUAGACAGUUGAAGCCGCUUGAAAAGAACUACCCGACCCAUGACCUUGAGUUAGCUGCGUGGUCUUUGCUUUGAAAAUCUGGAGACACUAUCUUUAUGGUGUCCACAUUGAUGUGUUUACUGAUCAUAAGGCCUGCAAUAUGUGUUUACCCAAAAGGAGUUGAUCCUUAGGUAGAGAAGGUGGUUGGAGUUGUUGAAAUAUUAUUAUAUGAGUGUGUUUUAUCACCCGGGCAUGGCCAAUGUAGUGGCGGACGUCCUUAGCAGAUUAUCUAUGGAUAGUGUUGCACAUAUAGAGGAGAGUAAGAGAGAGUUAGCUCGUGAUGUACACUAUCUAGGGAGGUUGGGAGUUAGAUUUCUUGAUUCAGUGGAGGGGAGUACAUUGGUGCAGAGUAGUUCUGAAUCCUCUUUUGUUUUGGAAGUGAAGGAGAAGCAAGAUAGAGACCCUAGUUUGGUCAAAUUAAAGGAGUCAGUUAAGGACUAAAAGGUAGAGGUUUUCUCCCAAGGGGGAGAUGUGUGUUGAGACUGCAUGGUAGGUUGUGUGUCCCAUGUGUUGAUGAAUUAAGGCAGAGGAUUGUGGCUGAAGCGCAUGGUGCACGUUAUUUCAUUCAUCCUGGCACUACCAAGAUGUACCACAAUUUGUGGGAAUUCUAUUGGUGGAAUGGUAUGAAGAAGGAUAUAGCUGAGUUUGUAGCAAGGUGUGUAAUGUGUCAACAGGUUAAGGUAGAGCACCAAAGGUCGGUUGGUAUGAUGCAAGAGAUUGGUAUACCCACUUGGAAGUGGGAGAUGGUGAGUAUAGACUUCGUGACCAGGUUGGCUCUUUCGUUCCAUCAUUAUGAUUCUAUUUGGGUUGUUGUGGAUAGGGUGACUUAGUCCACACACUUAUUGCCCAUGCAUACGUCGUAUACGACUGAGGAUUAUGCUAGAUUGUAUAUCCAGGAGUUGGUCAAGCUGCAUGGAGUUCCCUUAUAUAUCAUUUCGGAUAGGGGUACUCAAUUUACUUCCCAGUUUUAGAGGGCGUUUUAUUAGGGUCUUGGUACCCAAAUUCUUCUAAGUUUCACAUUUCACCCGUAAACAGAUGGUCAGGCUGAGAGGACCAUUUAGACCCUGGAGGAUAUGUUGAGAGCGUGUGCCCUCGAUUUCAAAAGUAGUUGGGAUGGGCAUUUUCUAUUUAUUGAGUUUACCUAUAACAAUAGUUUCCAUGCUAGCAUUGAGAUGGCACCGUUUAAGGCCUUGUAUGGUAGGAGGUGUAGAUCACCCAUAGGCUGGUUUGAAGUGGGUAAAGCUGCCGCACUUAUACCCAAUGCAGUAUUUGAAGCUAUGGAGAAAGUUAAGUUGAUUAGAAAGAGGUUGAAGAUGGCUCAAAGUCGUCAAAAGUCUUAUGCCGAUGUGAGGAGGAGAGAUCUUAAGUUUAAGGUGGGUGAUUUGGUGUACUUGAAGAUUUCACCCAUGAAAGAGGUGAAAAGGUUUGGUAAAAAGGGAAAGCUAAGUCCUCGUUAUGUUGGCCCGUAUAGAGUCUUAAGCCGUGUCGGUAAUGUGGCCUAUGAGGUUAAGUUGCCCUCAAAAUUGUCAGCCAUUCAUCCUAUUUUUCAUGUCUCCAUGCUCAAUAAGCAUAUUGGUGAUUCUAUUGUGGUUGAUCUUUUAAAGAGUGCUGAGAUUCAGGAUAGUUUUUCCUUCGAUUAAAUUCCUAUUGAGAUCUUAGACUUUCAAGUCCGUAGGCUGAGGAACAAAGAAUUUUCCUUGGUCAAAGUGUUGUGGAGGAACCAGUCUGUUGAGGGUACUACUUGGGAGGCAGAAGCAAACAUGCGAACCAAGUACCUGCACCUCUUUUUCGCAAGUUCAGAUCAAUCCGAAGGUACAAUUCUUCCUUGAUUCAGCUCUUCUAAUCUAAAGUUCAGCUAUGCAUCUAUCCUUGUAUGAGUUAUUGCAUUUUCUGGAGUAUUCAUGAGUUUAGAAAGAUCUUGAACCGUUUAGUAAUUGUUUUAGCUAUGUGUACUCAGUUUCUCCUAUAUUCCUAGUCUAACUCGCGAUAUUUGAGGACGAAUGUUCUCAAGAGGGAGAUAUUGUAAGGUCCCAUAAAGUUCCCUCGUAGUUUGAAUCUUUGGGCAUGUCGAGUGAAGCGUGAUUUUGACCCUAAAAGAUUGAGAAGUGGCUUCCUAAGUAAGUAUCAUGUUAACCAUAUAGAAUUUUCCUAAUUUCAACUUUCUAUCACGUGGGAUAUCUGAUAAGUUUUCCAUCGAUAUAAGAUUUGCCCAAAUCUGAUACCCGGGUAAGAAGUUAUGGCUAAUUUAAGACCUAGUCGUAAAACUGCGUCAUUUUAGUGCUUGGCGCGUCACGGAGAGGGUCGAUAUGAAAAUUUACAAAUUCCAGUGAGCCACCGCGAUAAGUGGCGCGUUGCGGUGACCCUUUAAAUUGGGUUCCCAGUUCAAUUUUUCCAGUUUCGUACAGAUUUUAAAAGGGGAAUUUUGGACUUUUUCCAAGCCUAUAAAACCGUGCAAACACCAAAUCAAAGUCAUUUGCAAGCAUCCUAUGAGGGAUUUCUCAAGUUUUCUCUUAUAAAAAACCCUAAGGAUCCAAAACCUCUUCCAAGAAUCUCAAGAAUCCACUAUGGAUUUUCUAAAUUGAGUCAAGAUUCAAGGUUCCCAAGUCAAGGGCCUCAAGAACCCUCAUUCAAGAGUACAAAUAGAGUUCCAAAAGUGAGAUUUCAUCCAAAAAUUCUAAUUCAAAGUAUGUGGGAUUUUGAACAAGGGUAACCCUUUCACCCUUAUGCCCAAAAACCUUCUUUACAUCAUGAUUUUGUUGAAAUCUAUAGGGUUUUUACAUGAAUUUGAGUUGGGUUUUUUCACCCAUUAUUAUGGAAUCCAUUACCUUGAUAUUUCCCAUAAAUUGAGAGUUAAAUGACAUGAUUUCUACAUAUUUUCUUGAGUGUUUACAGCUGGGUAUAAACCCCAUGAUUUUACUCCUUGAUAAGCUAAUAUUUGCAAUGUUUGAGGUGGUGAAGCAUAUGACUAAAUUGAGAUUUUGAAACAAAUUGCUGAAAUUCCCAGAUUUCUACAUGAUUUAUGAAUCUAUAUGCUUUAUAUAUUAUGUUUUUGAUAAGCUUCAACUUGAGAUUGAACUAUGGGUUAGUAAGCCCUAUUUGAGACUUGUGAAAUUAUGAAAUCUUAUGCUAUAAGCACUCAUGUUUUGAGUAUUUUGAGAUGAUUGAGAAAUGAAUUGACCUAAUGGUCCGAAACCUUUGAAAUCCAUUUCAUUAUAUGAGAUUAUCGAUUUGAUUAUUGGGUUCGUGAUAAACCAUGAGAUUAUUCUAAAAGUGGAUUUUUAUAAAAUGAGCGCAGAUAAUCUAAAGGGAGUAGUACUUAGAACCGAACGGGUAAGUCACUACGGUUUCUUAACCCAAAACUACGUGCCACCGUAGGUUGGGCCUGAGGUCGAGUUUAUGAUAAUUAUGAUUAGGCCUGAGGCCGAGUUUUGUUUAGUGAUCACUAGACCUAGGUUAUACUCCCUGGCAAGAGUAUGACGCCCAUCCCCAACGUGGUGUCUCCUCCUUAGGAGGACAAAACAUUAAACUCCAUAUAGCUCGCAUGGUUUAUGUCGGUUACGAGAACCCCUUUGCCCUUUUAAACUUCAAAAUUUGAUACUUAUUUUCCCUUCCUCUGAGUUAUUUUCCUAAAUGGUGGAAUUGCAAAGUUGUUCCUUAAUUAAAGUGCUUCCUUGAGGUGGAUUAUUUCUCUAAAUGAAAGUAUCUUCCCUUGAUAUAGUACUUUUCAUAAAGCUUUGAGAUAAGUUAUUUCCUUGAGCUAGAAUACUUUUCCAUUUGAGAUAGAAUAAUUUUCCUAAAGUUUGAAAUGAGAUAUUUUUCUAAGGUGAAUGAAAUGCCUUCAAAUAUGUUUCCAAGUUAUAUGAUUCUGAAUUCUAAGUAUAUGAGUUCUAAAUAAUUAUGAAAUGUUGAGCAUUAAAGAGGUUUUACUCUCCAUGAGAAAUAUGCAUGAGUCUAAAGUAUUGUUCAAAGUCCCUUAGCCUUUGGGUAUUGAGAAUAAGAGAAGAUUUCUGAUUUUUAAUGUUAAAGAGCGAUAACUCACGAGAUUUGAGUUCCAUCCCUCAUUCUACAUAAUUUAUAAGCUUUAUAUUUUAUACUUGUUCAAGCCAUGUGAGUUGUCUCAUUUUGCAUACAUGAUUUGAUUGAUGAAGAUCGGUACUAUUUUUAUACAUAUGCAUUCACCCCCGCAUACUCAGUACAUUCCAAAGUACUGAUUUACAUAUAUGUCUGUGUGCUACAUUGUCUUAUAAUGUAGGUUCAGGUGCUCAGUCCCAGCCUCAUCCGUGAUUCUUCGAGUACCUUGCCUAUGUUUUCUGCAGUGGUGAGUCCGCAUGGUUCGAGGAACGAUCUUCAGAUAUUUUCUAUAUUUGUGAGACUAUGUUUUAUCUUCAGUUCAUUUUGAGUCAGUUGGCGACCUGUCCCAACGGCUCUCUAGUUUUCAAUUCAUAGAGGUUUUGUCAGACUAGUAUCAUACUUGUGAUGUGUCGAGGGUUCGGUAUUGUGGUUUUGUUGAGGUUUCUCUGUAUUAUGGUCAUAUGGACCGAGUAUUUUUCCCGUAUUUCCUUUUAUGUGAUAUGACUAUGCGAGUGUUGAGUCUAUUUCAUCUUGAAUUGAGUGUUAUUGGUAGAAACCAGCUCUAAGUUUGGGCUACUUGUAGCCUUAAGCACCGUGUGAUGUCCCGGGAGACGAUUUUGGAUCGUUACAAUCUUGGACGGGUUUAGCUCGAUGUCUGGCACACCAAAAGCACACUUAGCCGGAUUCAACGUCAAGUUGUACUUUCUUAGCCUGCCAAAGAACUUUUCCAGAUGGGUCAGAUGAUCUAAACUCUUCCGGGAUUUAAUAAUUACAUCAACCACGUACACCUCAAUCACUUUAUGAAUCAUAUCAUGAAAAAUUAUUAUCAUAGCCCUCACGUAUGUUGCACCCGCACUCUUGAGACCAAACGGCAUCACCCUGUAAUAAUAAACUCCCUAGGGUGUAAUGAAAGUCGUCUUUUGCACAUCUUCAUCAUCUAUUAAUAUCUGAUAAUACCCAACAAAAUAAUCCAUGAAAGACUAUAUUUCAUACUUUGCAUAAUUAUCGAUGAUGAUGUGGAUGUUGGGUAAAGAUAAAUUACCUUUUGGACUGGCUCUAUUCAAAUCUCUAUCGUCAACACAAAAUCGGUUCUUGCCAUCCCUUUUCGGUGCUGGGGCAAUAUUGGAUAUCUAUUUGGAUACUAUGUGGCCUCCACAACCUUAGAUUGAAUUUGCUUCGUCACUUCUUCCUUGAUUUUCAAACUUAAGUCUAGCUUGAAUUUCUGUAUUUUUGGCUUUACUGGAUCAAACUCGAGAUUAAUUGGUAGCUUAUGCGACACGAUGUUGGUGCUCAAUCCCGGAAUAUCAUCACAGGACCAAAAAAAUAUGUCAAUGUACUCCCGUAGCAAGCGAACGAGUUCUCUUUUAUUUGUGCUUCUGCUAAGUGAACACUAACACUUUUCUCUUUGAUUUCAUCGCGGGUUUCCAGGUUGACUAUUUCAGUUUCCUCCAGGUUGGGAUUCUCCGGGUCACCAACCGAUCUUCAUCAUAUUCUUUCCAUUCCACAUUAUUCACCUUGCUUUGUUUGUCUAACCCCUGACAUGAUUAGCAGGUUUUAAAUUAUUGUUACUCCACCAACUUUGUGAAAAAUUAAAUUUCACUUUUUCACCUAUCCUAUUGAUCGGGGAGUGAUAGGUGGAGUGAACGUCCAACUCAGUAACAUUUUCUCCAAUUCAUCUUCCUUAAUUCUGAAUAUCUUAGAAAAUUCUUCCAUCAUAUUUUCCCGAUUCCAUCCUCGAGACCAUCACUUAUAGGUUUUGAAAAAUGACUGCUAGAGUCCAGUUUUACUACUAGUCAUUUUUAUUUCUUGUAACAAAGCCAUAGUCAAGAGGGGAAUAACUUAUUCACUUGAUCUAGUGAAGUAGGGAUAUUUUAUGCCAACACAGAGUAGUUUCUAUUACCUGCAAAGUAAAAGCAACUCAAAGGCUAACGUGUUAGAUUUCGUUAGUAAUAAGCAAGAUGAUAAGGCAUGAAGUAAACACAUAAGGUUGUUUCUCAUCUUAUGUGAAUUAAUCCAUGGAGUAAUGAUGACUCGAGAAUUUCAAUGAAUAGGAAUUUUCUCAUUGAUAUGGAUAAAUGAAAUUUAUCCGGAAGGUUCAACUCUUCCUCUUUCUAUCCUUAUAUCUUCUUUCAAGAAAGUGGAGGACAACAAAGUAUUUGAAGAUAGGGUUUGAGCCAAAAGGCUGCCUACGUAUCUCAUGAAAGAGAAAUCAGGCCCUGCGUAGUUCGAACAUAUAAUGGCUUCUUCUGAGUCCAUAGUCAAUCUUCCUGAAAUAGUAGCGAUCUUUUAAGAAGUUUUAAGAAUGAUUACGGAUUUUUCUGAGAGACUUGGGAGACCUGGAGUAUGUUUGGUCGGACUUUUGUUUAGUCGGUAUUUUUAUGCUUAGAGGUUCUUUUUGAAAUACAGGAUUGGAUCAAUUCUCCUUUGAUUCGAAUCAACAUAACACGUAUAAACACAUAAAACAACUAUAUCACACAAGCAUAUUGUAAUAAACGAGCAUCCUAAUUGGGUGACCCUUUUGAGCCAAGGGUUGGCCUAACAUAUAAUUUAAAGGAAGUAUAUGCUUUUUAAAACCAAUCCAUUAUCCAAAAAACCUCCAUAGGUAAAAAAGGCAUAUAUGCUUACAAAAGUAGGAAUACAAUCUUUAGGGAAAACAUGAGAAAAGAAUAAUGUCCCACCCAGGGGAUAGUAGCUCCUGGAUGUUCUAUUAUCGGCCUUCAUCCUAGCCUCGAAGGAUAAUGGAUUGGAUUAAAUAACAUAUAUUUCUUCCACACAUAAAUAUGAUUCAUUUGUAAUUGGCUCGUGGCCAAUAGACAUAGGGCAGAUUUUCUAAUGGGCCCAAUAGCCCCUCGAGUAUUGGAUCGUCCUAGGCUUAUGCCUAACAAAAGGGUUUUGAUUUUGCUCUAUCCUGGGUGUCUAGAGUGGGUUUAGACAUAGGUUCCUAAGCGGACAACCUGGGUUUGGAAAUACGAAUAGUGUCCGACUGCCUAACGUGUUGGUAAAUCAUCAUAUUCCCAACACUUGAUUUGGAGUUGAUCAACAGGAGUCGGGAUAUCCACGAAACCCCAAAAAAGUUUAAUAACCAUCAUGUGGGAUUAUGACAUGAAAUUCAAAAGUUAAUUUUGCAGAAUUUAAACAUAUAAGCAUAUAAACAGUUGAAACACUAUAAUAGUUAGUCAAAAAAGGCAAAUUAAAAUAUUUGGUUAGAACCUAGUUAAAAUUUCCAACAGAGUCGCCAUUUCGAUUUUAUCCCUUUUUAACUCGAAGGGUUGGAAAACAUUGAUUUCAACUUUUUAAGCUAUUUUGAAACUUUAAAGAAAAUUUCAAAACAAUCUAAGAAAUUGCAGAGUCGCCACUUAAUUUAUUUGAAAAGAAAUUAAGAAAACUUUUUAAAAUAAAAUCCUAAGUCUCAAAAUAGAAAAAGACUUAGGACUUUAAGAAAAUCCCGGGUAAGAGGUUCUUAUUAACAUUUUAGAAAGGUUUUAAGGCACCUAAAAUGUCCGCUAACUUGCGGUUAUCCGAACUAUUUAAAAACCAUUUUGACUAGCUUUGAAAAAAAGAGAAGUUGGUUUUUGAAAAGAAAGUGAUUUAGGAUGAAACUUGUAUAAAAUCAAAUUUUGACACUUAGUAGAGAAUUUAAAUAAGUCUAAGAAAAUAAAUAUCAAAUAAGCACGUAAAGAAAAAACGGGACAAUUAGAAGACUUAGGCUCGUAAGCCCAAAUCCAUCAACCAUGUCCUAAUCUAAUUGGGCUUUUGGCCCACUUGCAUCUGUCCUAAUCUAAAUAUUGAGUUUUGACCCAUAACCUGUCCUAAACUAUUUUUUCGAAUCCAUUGGCCGAGAAUCGGCUUCACCUAUAUUAAAACAAAACUUUGGCUUCGAGGCCCCAAAUGAAUGAAUAAAUAAAAAGAAGACAAUAAUAAAAAUUGAGACUUUACAAUUCUCUUGAUGACCUCCUCAAUGGGUUUUGACCCAUUUUCCUUCUUUGUCUAUCUUCUAGCACCUGCACGCCAUAUAGUUGACCUUGGAUUUAAACUUCAAACUUCACUAGAAGUGGUGGGCCUCAUUGGUCCAUUAUGAAAUGCAAGAGGAGAGGAUUCCAUUUGGACUCAAGACAUUUUUUGCAUGCAAAGAAAAGAUAACGAAAUUAAUAUACGUUCAAGGUAUAAAAGUGACAUAUUUCAAAGCAAAAAAAAAUAUCAAGAACCAAUUUUUGGAUGACAAUGAUAAGCACACUUGUGCACGUAUAACAAGAAUGAGAGUCAAUAGAUAAAAUGCAAAACAAAGACACCCACUUACAUGUCUCGUGAUUUAUGUUUAAAUUAAGAAUGAGUAAAGGUAAAAGGAAGAAGGCCAUAUUCAAUUAAUUAAUGCGAGAACAAACAACACAAACUUGCAAAAGUAAAGGGAUGAGGCAAUAAGAAAAAUAACCAUGACUUCUAAAAUCGAAAAAACAUAGACACUAAUCUAUAUAACAAAAUAAAAUAAAGGCUAACUUUUCAAGAAAGGGAAUUUUUAAAUUUCAAUUAAGGCGACAUUAACGAAGAUUCAUACAUCUAAAUUACAACCAACAUUUUAGGGGAAAACGUGUAACGGCCUAUGGUUUAUCUUUUUAAGACAUCGUUGAUUUUCUUUUGAUAUUACACACACAAAGAGCACAUAUAACAAUCCAAAGGGAGUAAGAAAAUUAGAAUAAAAGUUUAGCAUUUAUAAAAGUGAAAUAUCGUUCAACAAUCAUACUAUGUAUGACUCGAAAAAAUCUCAAUAAUUCUACUUAGCCACAAAAGCCCAAACUUUCUCAUUAUUUUGACAAGUCAACAUGCGAAAAAAAAAGAAUAAACAUGUUGGAUGAAAAAUAGCUAGGACUUCAUCUCUCAUAUGAGAAUUUUGAAAUCCAUUAAAAUAAUUAGCAUGCAAAUGACAAGUUCUUAACUUAACCAAUUACUAUUUUACUAAGGCAAAACAAACAAUAGUUACUAUUCUUUUGACAAAAAGAAAACAACUUUACAUGCUAAAAAUAAAUAUAUCUGCCGACAAUGAAUUUAAACAAAGUAUAAGAACGCCUUUUAAACAAAGAUUGAAACUUUAUCCAUAAUAAUCAAAGAAUACAGUCAAAAAGGAGAAACAAUCAAUAUUAUCUAUUCUUUUCAAUAUAAAGGAAACAACUUUACAUGCUAAAACAAACAUAUCCAUUAACAAUGAAUUUAAACAAAGCAUAAGUACAUAUUUUAAGCAAAGAUUGAAACUUUAUCUAUAAUAAUCAAAGAAUACAGUCAAAAAGGAGAAACAAUCAAUAUUAACUAGUCAUUUCAACAUAAAUGAAACAACUUUAUAUGCUAAAAAUAAAUAUAUCCGCCAACAAUUAAUUUAAACAAACCAUAAGUACAUCUUUUAAGCAAAGAUUGAAACUUUAUCUAUAAUAAUCAAAGAAUAAAGUAAAAAAAGCACGUACAACUAUUACUAACUCAUUUUUAUACCAUGCACAAGAAAAUAAUCAUAAUAUCGAUACCAAAACGUCCUAUGGCCUUCAGGGCCCUCUACAACAAACAAUCUCAGCAAACAAAAAUAUUACUACGAAUUACAAAGAAAAAAAAGAUGAAGAAGAAAACGAUAAUAAAACUAAAAAAAGGGAAAGGUGUGUUUACCUUUUUAGGGCAGAAAAAUGGGGCUACAAUCUUUCUUCGGAGUCAUGAUCACCAUCGAAAAACGUUCAACUCGAGAACUUCGAUUAGCCCACGAAUUUCAUGGAAAAGGAAAUUUUUUACUAAAAUAAAAACUCCUCUUUGCUCAAAGUUGUUUUUUUCAACCUUGAGACUUGAUCUUUCUAUCAAAAUAGUGGUAGUAUUUAUAGAAAUGGGUGGGGAUUCAAUUCUUUUCAUCCACCAAUGUGGGAGAGAGAAUUUAGGAGUGUUUUUGAAAUUUUAAAAUUAAAGAUAAGGUGAGGUGGAAGAUAAGGUGGGAAAAAUUGUACAAUGUAGUACAAUUUUUAAAUUUCAAAAUUGAAAAAAAAAAUAAGGUUGAGGGGGGAAUUAUACAAUGUAGUAUAAUUUUUUAAUUUCAAAAUUUGAAUUUGAAAAUAGAACAAGGUUGGGAGGGAAUUGUACAAUGUAGUACAAUUUUUGAAUUUCAAAAUUGAAAAAUGAACAAAGUUGAGGUGGAAAUCGUACAAUGUAGCAUAAUUUUUGAAUUUUAAAAUUUGAGUGUUAAAAAAGGACAAGGUUGAGGGGAAA